UCAUCCCUCAUUCCAUCUGCUCAAUAAAAAUCUGUCUUCGAUGGACAUCAAGAAAUAACAUAUUAAAAAUCAUUUGCAAGAUUGAUGAUCUUCAUUUACCAGUUUCAAUACUAAACAACUUCGGUAACGAGAUUGCAAGUUGCAGUCUUCCUUUUCCGUCUCCUCUUUGUACUCCAACAUACAGUAAUACAACUGUAAAACAGAAUACACACACAAACGAAACAGUAGUUAUAGUGGUAGGAAAAAUUGAUCAUAGUAUAAAUGGAAAUUGGUCAUGUCAUCAUGGGGUAGGCAGAAAGUAUGAAGCAGAUAUUGAAAUCAACGUCCUAACAUUGAAAGGACAAAACAAAACGGAUGAAUAUGAUGACUUAAGCUGCCUAAAGGAAAUAUCGUUCUAUACUGUGACAGGAAUCAUCAUUUCAGUGGCUAUGUUCAGCAUUUUGUGCUUAAUUUUGAUAUGUAAAUGUAAAUUGACAAAGGGAAAAGCGCAAGAUUUCAAUGUAACAUUUCCAUAUGCAGCUGUUAUUGACAAAUGUUUUGAAAUUCAGAGGUUUCAGAAAUAUUCGG
Molecule: long non-coding RNA, 567 nt
Organism: Mytilus californianus (California mussel)
Lineage: Eukaryota; Metazoa; Mollusca; Bivalvia; Mytilida; Mytilidae
Exons: 4
Source: RefSeq, a predicted model, not a curated record